CCGGCGUGAGGGACGAAGGCCUUCGGGUUGUAAACCUCUGGUCACCGGGGAAGAAACGCUGUAUUUUAAUAGAAUACAGCCUGACUUAACCCGGAGAGGAAGCAGUGGCUAACUCUGUGCCAGCAGCCGCGGUAAUACAGAGACUGCGAGCGUUAUUCGGAUUCACUGGGCGUAAAGGGUGCGCAGGCGGCCGUGUGUGUCAGGUGUGAAAGCCCCGAGGCUCAACCUCGGAAUUGCGCCUGAAACUACACGGCUAGAGUAUUGGAGAGGGUAGCGGAAUUCACGGUGUAGCAGUGAAAUGCGUAGAUAUCGUGAGGAACACCAGAGGCGAAGGCGGCUACCUGGACAAUUACUGACGCUCAGGCACGAAAGCGUGGGGAGCAAAAGGGAUUAGAUACCCCUGUAGUCCACGCCCUAAACGGUGCACACUAGGUCUUGGCGGAUUCGACCCCGCCAGGGCCCCAGCUAACGCGUUAAGUGUGCCGCCUGAGGACUACGGCCGCAAGGCUA
This 510-nucleotide ribosomal RNA is filed under the name uncultured Verrucomicrobiota bacterium. Its description in RNAcentral is "bacterial SSU rRNA". It matches the Rfam family "Bacterial small subunit ribosomal RNA", at positions 396 to 896 of the family's 1533-position model. The record is from RNAcentral. Lineage: Bacteria; Pseudomonadati; Verrucomicrobiota.